CAGCCGUAAACUAAUGCGCGUUAGGUGUAUCGGUGACCACGAGUUACCGAGGUGCCGAAGGGAAACCGUGAAACGUGCCGCCUGGGAAGUACGGUCGCAAGGCUGAAACUUAAAGGAAUUGGCGGGGGAGCACCACAACAGGUGGAGCCUGCGGUUUAAUUGGACUCAACGCCGGGAAGCUCACCGGAUAGGACAGCAGAAUGAUUGCCGGGCUGAAGACCCUGCAUGACUAGCUGAGAGGUGGUGCAUGGCGUCAGUGACU
This 262-nucleotide ribosomal RNA is filed under the name uncultured archaeon. RNAcentral's name for it is "partial 16S ribosomal RNA". It matches the Rfam family "Archaeal small subunit ribosomal RNA", at positions 748 to 1008 of the family's 1478-position model. The record is from RNAcentral.